GAUGAACGCUAGCGGCAGGCCUAAUACAUGCAAGUCGGACGGGAUUCAGGAGCUUGCUUCUGAUGAGAGUGGCGCACGGGUGCGUAACACGUAUGUAACCUACCUUUAUCAGGGGGAUAGCCUCUCGAAAGAGAGAUUAAGCCCGCAUAAAAUCACAGCACAGCAUUGUGUAAUGAUCAAAUAUUUAUAGGAUAAAGAUGGGCAUGCGGAACAUUAGCUAGAUGGCGGGGUAACGGCCCACCAUGGCGACGAUGUUUAGGGGAUCUGAGAGGAUGGCCCCCCACACUGGUACUGAGACACGGACCAGACUCCUACGGGAGGCAGCAGUAAGGAAUAUUGGUCAAUGGGCGGAAGCCUGAACCAGCCAUGCCGCGUGCAGGAAGACGGCCCUACGGGUUGUAAACUGCUUUUAUACGGGAAUAAACCCAGAUACGUGUAUCUGGCUGAAUGUACUGUAAGAAUAAGGAUCGGCGAACUCCGU
This 481-nucleotide ribosomal RNA is filed under the name uncultured bacterium. RNAcentral's name for it is "partial 16S ribosomal RNA". It matches the Rfam family "Bacterial small subunit ribosomal RNA", at positions 28 to 506 of the family's 1533-position model. The record is from RNAcentral.